This 468-nucleotide ribosomal RNA is filed under the name uncultured bacterium. Its description in RNAcentral is "partial 16S ribosomal RNA". It matches the Rfam family "Bacterial small subunit ribosomal RNA", at positions 28 to 507 of the family's 1533-position model. The record is from RNAcentral.
GACGAACGCUGGCGGCGUGCUUAACACAUGCAAGUCGAACGGAAAGGCCCUGCGUUUGUGGGGUGCUCGAGUGGCGAACGGGUGAGUAACACGUGAGUAACCGGCCCUUGACUUUGGGAUAACUUCAGGAAACGGGGGCUAAUACCGGAUAGGAGAUCCUGCUGCAUGGUGGGGGUGGGAAAGUUUCGGCGGUUGGGGAUGGACUCGCGGCUGAUCAGCUAGUUGGUGGGGUAGUGGCUUACCAAGGGUUUGACGGGUAGCCGGCCUGAGAGGGUGACCGGCCACAUUGGGACUGAGAGACGGCCCAGACUCCUACGGGAGGCAGCGGGGGGGAAUAUUGCACAAUGGGCGGAAGCCUGAUGCAGCAACGCCGCGUGCGGGAUGACGGCCUUCGGGUUGUAAACCGCUUUCGCCUGUGACGAAGCGUGAGUGACGGUAAUGGGUAAAGAAGCACCGGCUAACUACGUG